AUUGAACGCUAGCGGGAUGCCUUACACAUGCAAGUCGAACGGCAGCAUAAGAGAGCUUGCUCUCUUGAUGGCGAGUGGCGAACGGGUGAGUAAUGUAUCGGAACGUGCCCAGUAGCGGGGGAUAACUACGCGAAAGCGUAGCUAAUACCGCAUACGCCCUACGGGGAAAGGAGGGGAUCCGCAAGGACCUUUCACUAUUGGAGCGGCCGAUAUCGGAUUAGCUAGUUGGUGAGGUAACGGCCCACCAAGGCGACGAUCAGUAGCCGGACUGAGAGGUUGAACGGCCACAUUGGGACUGAGACACGGCCCAG
This 311-nucleotide ribosomal RNA is filed under the name uncultured bacterium. Its description in RNAcentral is "bacterial SSU rRNA". It matches the Rfam family "Bacterial small subunit ribosomal RNA", at positions 30 to 334 of the family's 1533-position model. The record is from RNAcentral.